CGAAGUGAAGGUAGCUUGCUACUUGAUCUUAGUGGCGAACGUGAGUAACACGUAGGUAACCUGCCUAUAUGACUGGGAUAACUAUUGGAAACGAUAGCUAAUACCGGAUAGGUAAAGAGAAGGCAUCUUCUCUUUAUUAAAGUUGGGAUACAACACAUAUGGAUGGACCUGCGGCGCAUUAGCUAGUUGGUGAGGUAACGGCUCACCAAGGCGAUGAUGCGUACCACCUGAGAGGGUGAACGGCCACACUGGGACUGAGACACGGCCCAACUCCUACGGGAGGCAGCAGUAGGGAAUUUUCGGCAAUGGGGGAAACCCUGACCGA
Molecule: ribosomal RNA, 325 nt
Filed under: uncultured bacterium
Lineage: Bacteria
Description: bacterial SSU rRNA
Rfam family: Bacterial small subunit ribosomal RNA
Source: RNAcentral